GAUGAACGCUGGCGGCGUGCCUAAUACAUGCAAGUCGAGCGAACAGACGAGGAGCUUGCUCCUCUGACGUUAGCGGCGGACGGGUGAGUAACACGUGGAUAACCUACCUAUAAGACUGGGAUAACCUCGGGAAACCGGAGCUAAUACCGGAUAAUAUAUUGAACCGCAUGGUUCAAUAGUGAAAGACGGUUUUGCUGUCACUUAUAGAUGGAUCCGCGCCGCAUUAGCUAGUUGGUAAGGUAACGGCUUACCAAGGCAACGAUGCGUAGCCGACCUGAGAGGGUGAUCGGCCACACUGGAACUGAGACACGGUCCAGACUCCUACGGGAGGCAGCAGUAGGGAAUCUUCCGCAAUGGGCGAAAGCCUGACGGAGCAACGCCGCGUGAGUGAUGAAGGUCUUCGGAUCGUAAAACUCUAUUAUUAGGGAAGAACAAAUGUGUAAGUAACUAUGCACGUCUUGACGGUACCUAAUCAGAAAGCCACGGCUAACUACGUG
Molecule: ribosomal RNA, 497 nt
Filed under: uncultured bacterium
Lineage: Bacteria
Description: partial 16S ribosomal RNA
Rfam family: Bacterial small subunit ribosomal RNA
Source: RNAcentral